Molecule: ribosomal RNA, 253 nt
Filed under: uncultured bacterium
Lineage: Bacteria
Description: partial 16S ribosomal RNA
Rfam family: Bacterial small subunit ribosomal RNA
Source: RNAcentral
UACGUAGGGUGCAAGCGUUGUCCGGAAUUAUUGGGCGUAAAGAGCGCGCAGGCGGUCGUUCAAGUCGCGUGUGAAAGCCCCCGGCUCAACUGGGGAGGGUCACUCGAUACUGAUCGACUCGAAGGCAGGAGAGGGUAGUGGAAUUCCCGGUGUAGUGGUGAAAUGCGUAGAUAUCUGGAGGAACACCGGUGGCGAAGGCGGCAUCCUGGACCAACACUGACGCUGAGGAGCGAAAGCCAGGGGAGCAAACGGG